UACGUAGGGUGCGAGCGUUGUCCGGAAUUAUUGGGCGUAAAGGGCUCGUAGGCGGUCUGUCGCGUCGGGAGUGAAAACUCAGGGCUUAACCCUGAGCCUGCUUCCGAUACGGGCAGACUAGAGGUAUGCAGGGGAGAACGGAAUUCCUGGUGUAGCGGUGGAAUGCGCAGAUAUCAGGAGGAACACCGGUGGCGAAGGCGGUUCUCUGGGCCUUACCUGACGCUGAGGAGCGAAAGCGUGGGGAGCGAACAGG
RNAcentral lists this ribosomal RNA (253 nucleotides) under uncultured bacterium. RNAcentral describes it as "partial 16S ribosomal RNA". It matches the Rfam family "Bacterial small subunit ribosomal RNA", at positions 524 to 776 of the family's 1533-position model. The record is from RNAcentral.